CCCCAUUUUCUUCACCCACUUUUCCCCCAUUUUUCCUCCCAUUUUUUUCCCAUUUCUCCCCCAUUUCUCCCCAUUUUUUCCCAUUUUCUCCCCAUUUUUCCCCAUUCCUCCCCAUUUUUUUCCCAUUUCUCCCCAUUUCCCCCCAUUUUUUUCCCAUUUUCACCCCGUUUUCACCCCGUUUCUCCCCAUUUUCACCCCGUUUCUCCCAUUUUCACCCCGUUUCACCCCAUUUCUCCCCGUUUUCACCCCGUUUUUCCCCAUUUUUCCCCAUUUCCCCCCGUUUCUCCCCGUUUCCCAGCCCCGAGUACUCCCGCUACUUUUCCCGGCGGGAUCUGGAGGCGUUUUCGGCGGAGCCGCUGCUGCUGUUCCCCACUCACUACACGGGGGAGCCCGGCUACGUCAGCGACACCGAGACGGCCCCGGCGCCGCCGCGCGACGAGCUCUGACCCCAAUAAAACUCACACUUGGAUUUUUAAACGGCUUUUUGCUGGUUUUAUUUUCGGGAUUUUUUUUGGGAUUUUUGGGGAUUUUUUAUGGGGUUUUUUGGGAUUUUUUUUGGAUUUUUUGGGGAUUUUUUUAUGGGUUAUUUUGGGGUUUUUUGGGGAUUUUUUUCUUGGGUUUUUGGGGAUUUUUUCUGGGUUUUAUUGGGAUUUUUUCCAGGGUUUUUUGGGAUUUUUUCUGGGUUUUAUUGGGAUUUUUUCUGGCUUUUAUUGGGAUUUUUUCUGGGUUUUAUUGGGAUUUUUUCUGGGUUUUUUGGGAUUUCUUUUUUGAUUUUUUGGGGGAUUUUUUCUUGGGUUUUUUAGGAUUUUUUUCUGGGUUUUUUGGGAUUUUUUCUGGGUUAUUUUGGGAUUUUUUUCUCAGUUAUUUUGGGUUUUUUGGGGGAUUUUUUCCGGGUUAUUUUGGGAUUUUUUUCCAGGUUAUUUUGGGAUUUUUUCUGGGUUUUUUGGGAUUUUUUCUGGGUUAUUUUGGGAUUUUUUCUGGCUUUUAUUGGGAUUUUUUCCAGGGUUUUUUGGGGGAUUUUUUUGGGAUCUUUUGGGUAAAUUUUUGGGGUUAUUUUGGGGAUUUUCUUUGGAUAUUUUGGGAAUAUUUUGGGGAUAAUUUGGGAUAUUUUGGGGAUGUUUUUGGGGAUAUUUUGGGGAUAAUUUGGGAUAUUUUGGGACAUUUUGGGGCUCAGAGCUCGUCGUGCUCCUCGUGCCCAGGUGUUUCGGGCUCCCUGCAGGCCGCAGGUGUCUCCAGCUCCAGCAGGUACUCGCAGCGGCUCGGCUCCGACGCCGCCGUCACCGCCGUGUCCCGGCCACACCUGAGCCGCACCUGGCAGGGGACAGCACAGCUCAGACACACCUGGGACACCUGGGACACCUGGGGACACCUGGGACACACCUGGGACACACCUGGGGACACCUGGGGACACCUGGGGACACCUGAGAUACACCUGAGAUACACCUGGCACGGGGACAGCACAGCUCAGACACCUGGGGACACCUGGGGACACCUGGGGACACCUGGGACACACCUGGGGACACCUGGGGACAUCUGGGGACAUCUGAGGACAUCUGGGGACACCUGAGAUACACCUGGGACACACCUGGGGACACCUGGAAAUAGCUGAGCACAACUGGGGACACACCUGGGACACAGCUGGGACACAGCUGGGGACAUUGUGGGGGCUCAGGUGACACAGGACAGGUGACACACAGGUGACACAGGUGACACAGGUGACAGGUGACACAGAUGACACAGGACAGGUGACACAGGUGACACACAGGUGACACAGGACAGGUGACACAGGUGACACACAGGUGACACAGGACAGGUGACACAGGACAGGUGACACAGGUGACAGGUGUGUCACUCACCGUGGUGGCUCUGUUGGGUCCCUGCCAGCACCCCGUGCUGCUCACACAGGUGUGACACAGGACAGGUGACACACACACACAGGUGACACACACACACAGGUGACACACACAGGUGACACAGGUGACACAGGUGACACACACACACACAGGUGACACAGGACAGGUGACACAGGUGACACAGGUGUCACUCACCGUGGUGGCUCUGUUGGGUCCCUGCCAGCACCCCGUGCCCCCCUCGUAUUUUUGGGCCCCGAAUUUGUCGCCUUCGGGCCCCGCCCAGGAGCCCCAGAGCCUGUGGGGGAGGGGCCAGGUGAGCACAGGUGACGUCACGGGGUCAGGUGACGUCACGGGGUCAGGUGACAUCAUGGGGGUCGGGUGACGUCAUGGGGGGUCAGGUGACACCAGGGGCUGUCCCCAGGCGUCCCCAGGGUGGUUUUGGGGGGGAUUUGGGUUUUUUUGGGUGUUUUUGGUGAGAUUUUGGGGGUUUUUGAGGUGGUUUUGGGGGUUUUUGGGGUAUUUUGUGGAUAUUUUUGGGGUGUUUUGGGGGUUUUUGGGGUAUUUUUGGGGUGUUUGGGGUGUUUUUGGGGUGUUUUGGGGUGCCCUGACCCCAGGUUGGUCUCGGCGCCGCCGUUUUUGGGUCUCUGGGUGACGCGCUGGAAGGGGCAGAGCCGG
RNAcentral lists this long non-coding RNA (2528 nucleotides) under Cyanistes caeruleus (blue tit). RNAcentral describes it as "lncRNA (ENSCCEG00000001461.1)". The record is from RNAcentral. Lineage: Eukaryota; Metazoa; Chordata; Aves; Passeriformes; Paridae.